GGUGUGACUUCCCCAGCCUCCAUUUCCAUAGACUAGGGAACCUUGCCUGGGGCGUUGAAAUAAACUGCCUGGCCCUUUGUUGCCUCUCUUUGCCUGCUUAUUUUGGCUAGAAUUUAUCUUACAUUUAGUGCCAAAAUCCCAGGAAGGAGCAUGAGCGUGGGGCCCCGACCGGCCACCAGUGGCCCCUCCCCCUCCUUCCCUGACCCAGGACCUCAGCCUGCUCUCUGCUGCAUGGACUAUUUUCUGGUGCAGGAACCUCAAGAUGUCUUAGAGACCUCAAGAAGAUAGGAAUUCACCCAAAUCUACAGGUACUGCAGGCAAAGCCUGAUG
Molecule: long non-coding RNA, 330 nt
Organism: Manis pentadactyla (Chinese pangolin)
Lineage: Eukaryota; Metazoa; Chordata; Mammalia; Pholidota; Manidae
Exons: 2
Source: RefSeq, a predicted model, not a curated record